CCGCGUAGUUAAACGUGUGGGAUGAGAACCUGCAGCAGGUUCGACUGAAUCGUGCAGCGAUUCAGGCUGAUGCGUCAGCAUCACCCGGAGGGCGAGGGCCGCCGGGCCGAGGCAAUCCUGCACGACCCACCC
This 132-nucleotide small RNA is filed under the name Pantoea ananatis. RNAcentral describes it as "RtT sRNA". It matches the Rfam family "RtT RNA". Rfam says of the family: This family represents a bacterial cis-regulatory element known as RtT RNA. The exact function of RtT is unknown although it is thought that it may be involved in changing the cellular response in relation to amino acid starvation. RNAcentral also lists the same sequence under 1 other name. The record is from RNAcentral. Lineage: Bacteria; Pseudomonadati; Pseudomonadota; Gammaproteobacteria; Enterobacterales; Erwiniaceae.